This 68-nucleotide transfer RNA is filed under the name Ictidomys tridecemlineatus (thirteen-lined ground squirrel). RNAcentral's name for it is "Spermophilus tridecemlineatus (thirteen-lined ground squirrel) tRNA". It matches the Rfam family "tRNA". Rfam says of the family: Transfer RNA (tRNA) molecules are approximately 80 nucleotides in length. Their secondary structure includes four short double-helical elements and three loops (D, anti-codon, and T loops). Further hydrogen bonds mediate the characteristic L-shaped molecular structure. tRNAs have two regions of fundamental functional importance: the anti-codon, which is responsible for specific mRNA codon recognition, and the 3' end, to which the tRNAs corresponding amino acid is attached (by aminoacyl-tRNA synthetases). tRNAs cope with the degeneracy of the genetic code in two manners: having more than one tRNA (with a specific anti-codon) for a particular amino acid; and 'wobble' base-pairing, i.e. permitting non-standard base-pairing at the 3rd anti-codon position. The record is from Rfam by way of RNAcentral. Lineage: Eukaryota; Metazoa; Chordata; Mammalia; Rodentia; Sciuridae.
GGGGCUGUAACUCAGUGGCAGAGUGCUUGCCUAGCAUGUGUGAGGCACUGGUUCAAUCCUCAGCACCA